Molecule: long non-coding RNA, 1632 nt
Organism: Oncorhynchus tshawytscha (Chinook salmon)
Lineage: Eukaryota; Metazoa; Chordata; Actinopteri; Salmoniformes; Salmonidae
Source: Ensembl
CAAGGUUAAGAAAAGGGGCAGGGCUUCGAACACACCGACUGCGUCAUUGCAUCACUGCUGCGUAACAUUUUGCGCAGCUAGGCAACUAUACUGAUGCGUAUACCUUUUGCAGAUAGUUGCAUGCGGUUUGACACAUGGAGGAGAGAAUCAUUUUCGCAGUAUCCUCAAAACCGUGUCUUUUUGACACAACUGCUGGCAGCGAUAUGGACAUAAACACAAAAAAAUGCUGCUUGGAGACAAGUGUCCACGAUAGUAGGAUUGCCAGGUCAGUUUAGUAGUGAGCUUGUGCUAGAUGUGGCUAGUUAGCGUUAGCUAACCUAGCCAAUGAGGUGUGUGUGUGAAAUAAAUAUUCAAAUAAAUUAUGCUAGUUACUACCCCUGAUAAUUUUACCAAAUAAUCAUGUUUGAAAGAGUGUGAGUGUAUGCUAGAUUAUUAAUAGAAAUUGUAGAUACUACUGUACCCCUGAUAAUUUGGUCAGAUAACCGUGUGUGUCUGUGUACAGUAGGUGACAUGUCCAUGAUAGCUAUCUAAUAACUAUAGUUAUGCUAGGUAAUGGUUUGGCUUAUCAUGUUCAUGUCUAUGUAGAAGAAGACUGUAAGAUGAAGUGGAUAGGACUCAGGGACAGGUAUCAGAGAGAGAGAGAAGGGCAGAGAAAGAGAAGAAGAGGUCUGGGUCAGCAGCCGCAUUCUUUCUUUUCUGGAUCCAUUUAUUGUGCCUAGGGCAAUGAGUGGCAAUUUUACAGCCAGACCCUCUACUACGUCAUCCACAAGUGUUGUCCCCACCGGUGCAUCAAGACCCUCUACAACGUCUACAUCAUCCACGAGUAUGACCACCACCGGUGCAGCCAUGGAAGAUUAUGAAAUGGAGGAAGUACCUCUGGAUCUAGGACCACCUGAGAUUAUUAUGAACCUCACGGAAGUGACCGCUGAGGACCUCGUUGAACAGCAUGUGGCCCGUGGAGAGAAACGAAGAGGAACGUCACACCAGGCGUCAUCGGAGGUACCUGCCCCCAGAUCCACUCAACUAAUUUCAGCAGAGGCUCCUCCAAGCCGUCGAGAGGGAUGCAGCCCAACCUGAUGCUCACAGGAAGGAGGAUGAAGAGACCCUCUUUGCCAUGAGCCUGGUUCCAAUGCUGAAGAGGCUGCCUCAUCAAAGAAAAGCAGCAGUCAAGGUUAAAAUGUAUCAGCUGCUUUUCGAUGACAAGUUCAAGGAAAUGGAGUCAAUUUAGCCGACCAGCUCACAGGAAGGACAGGAAGAGGAGAGGAGUUGUCUGGUUGUUGUUUUGACCUCCCUCAUUGUACCUUUCUUUUCACACACAGACACACACCUCUCCUCUCUGUCCCUCAGAUCUCCAGUGCCCUGCCCUCUCUCUUUAUGGCCAUGUCUGAAGUUCCCCUACUACGUCUAGUCUUUAUGAGUUGUCCCUGUAUCUGUCUGCAGUUGUGCCAAAAAUACAUGCUCUUAUUGUUCUCUUACAGAUUACAGGCUACACAUUCAUUUUAUUUAUUUGUUACACGCACACACACACACCUCUUUUAAUAGAUCUAUUUUUUUUAAACAUUUUUACAACACACAUACCUGUCAUGUUCUUUCCUGUACUUGAAUACUAAUUAAAUAAUGUUUUCAUAGUCA